Molecule: long non-coding RNA, 962 nt
Organism: Gossypium arboreum
Lineage: Eukaryota; Viridiplantae; Streptophyta; Magnoliopsida; Malvales; Malvaceae
Exons: 2
Source: RefSeq, a predicted model, not a curated record
AUAGUUGUAGACUUAAGAGAUGACUUGGACUAGAAUCUAGCCGAUCAUUUAGAUUUAGAUAAGAUUUCUAGAUAAGGCUUGAGCAUUAUAAAUAAGUGGAGGAUGUUGUAGUUAAAUGCCAAGCAAAAAAAAAAAAACAAAAAAUUUAUAAUGAAAGUGAGUUUUAAAAUUUUCUCCCUAAAUUUAUUUCUCUUUCUCCACUAAAGUCUUUUUUAAAAAUUAUUUCUAUUCCUCCUCCUUCCAACAAAAUGGUAUCGUUCUUCCAAUAAAAUUAUUUCACUUUUGAAUUUUGCUAAAUUUCAUUGAUUUGGGUGUUCGAAUUUCAACAAUAAUCGAUAUAGUCUUCCCUAAACGAGAAAUAUUAUCUUUGUCAUUGGAUGCCAAGAAAUGCAUCUUGAGGCAACAAAAAACAAAUCAAGGCACUGGGAGGUUAGAAGAGAAUCUAGAAUAUAGGUGUUGUGACCUAAUAGGCUGACACAGGCCUUAGGUUGUGCUAAUUGGCUCAAUUGAACGUGUAAGACGAAUAUAUAAAGGCCCAAUUGAUGUGGAAGCAAAGGUCAAGUGAUGCACAAGUUUCUUAGGAUGUCAAAACACCAAAGAAACGGCACAAGGCAAUAUUUGCAUGUCAUGUUGUGCCACACAAUAGGUGUGGUGCGAUAUAAGGCUGACGUGCCGCCCAAGUAUUUUAGGGUUAUUUUCGUCUGCUCAAUCAAACUUAUACGAGGACCUAAGACAUGCCGAAUACCUAAUUUGGGCUGCCAAUACCUCUAUAAAUAAGACAUUAGGGGUUGAGUGUAAAAAAUUUCAUCUAUGACGCCUUCAAAAACCCUCAUAGUUUUGAAUUAGUUUUAGUUUAUUUUCUUUUCGACUUUUUAAAUACGUUCUUGUUUUCUUCUUGAAUCAGUUUUGCUUUAAGAACUUGUUUAUUUAAUUAAAGUAUUUAGUUUAUAUUUUCUGUUUCA